RNAcentral lists this unclassified non-coding RNA (240 nucleotides) under soil metagenome. RNAcentral describes it as "partial contains 5.8S ribosomal RNA, internal transcribed spacer 2, and large subunit ribosomal RNA". The record is from RNAcentral.
AACCUUAUGGACCUGCGGGCGUAUACCUGCGGAAGGAUCAUUACAAGUGACCCCGGUUUACCACCGGGAUGUUCAUAACCCUUUGUUGUCCGACUCUGUUGCCUCCGGGGCGACCCUGCCUUCGGGCGGGGGCUCCGGGUGGACACUUCAAACUCUUGCGUAACUUUGCAGUCUGAGUAAACUUAAUUAAUAAAUUAAAACUUUCAGCAACGGAUCUCAGAUCGGAUGAGCACACGUCUG